Molecule: long non-coding RNA, 3038 nt
Organism: Cavia porcellus (domestic guinea pig)
Lineage: Eukaryota; Metazoa; Chordata; Mammalia; Rodentia; Caviidae
Exons: 3
Source: RefSeq, a predicted model, not a curated record
UCUUGCCUUCAGCUUGGACGUCAUCUCCCGGCUUCUGGCACAGACUAUCUGGCUUCUGCCUGGGACUCUUCAGCCUUUGUUGUAGACUCUUCAUCCUUCUGUUGUAGAUUCUUCUUCAGUGUUCUGUCAUAGACCCAUCGGCCUCCUAACACAGACCUGCACGGGACUCCACAGUAAGCUCAGGGCUGGACCCUUCAGCCUCCAGAGUGCGGACACCCACUGCACGGUCCCUCAUCCGACUCGGUGGCUGACAACUGGAAGAUGCCUGGAGGACAGAGAAGCCAGUCGGAACAUGGUGAGAUCACAAGCAAAGAGCACAACUCACACAGCAAUCUGCAAUUCUCCUGCCCCAGGAGACACAUCAACAGUGCAGUCAGUAUGUGAGUGCCUAUCACCAUGUAAAACAUUAAUGAUCCUGCCAUAAAUUUACUGUUGACUCCUGCCACCAGUGCACAGACUCCCCACAUCAAGAAUGUGGCCUCCUCUCUGUGAUUAUCCAUGCCCGGUGUCCUGAGUAGGGACCAUCUCUGUGACAGGUACGUAGUGAGCAGCUGUGAGUGAUAAGAUCAAUGUUUAAGUCAGAGUGGUCAUGACAUUUCUUACUUUCCUGGGCAGCUUUCCUUCUCCUCAAAGAUCUGUCACCAGGACUUUAAAAUGUGUCCCAGUGCCAACGAGGCCACUUUCAACUCUUCAAAGUAAGACUAGAGGGAAUAGCAAGAUGUUCCUUGCCUGCGUUUGACUUCUAGCAGAAGUGCUUGUGAAGCUUUGUUUGUGAAGUUUGUUUUCCUUAAAAGCCCAAAGUGUAUAUAGAUUGUGACUGCUUAUCAUGGUUUAUGUUUGUGUCCCCCAGACCUCAUGAGUUUGCAUUGUUCAUAUGUGAUGGUUCAUUGUAUAGUACUUGGAUUGAUGGUGUCAGUGCUCUACCCACAUAGGGGUGGAGCCAGGAUGUGAUGUAAUGGCAGGAAGAAGGUGUGUUUUUCUCUUUGCUGGUUUGAGUUUGCUGCUGGCGGCCACCAUGAACUGCAGCCCAGCCAUGCCUGCCUGUCUUGGAGACAACUGAGUGUGGACUGAAACCUCCAAAAACUGUAAGAAAUAAACCUUUCCUUUCCCAAUUUUGGGCUUCAGGUAUUUUGUCUCAGCAACAAGUAAAAAGUGACUAAGACAGAAAUUUGGUACCGAGGAAGUGGGGUCGUUUGCUGUGACUAUACCUGGCCAUGUUUUUCAAGAGGUUUUGGAAAUGGCUUGUGGGAGGAGUUUGGAAAGGUUUGGAUAUGUUGCCUGGAUGCAUAGGGCUGGAGCAGCUAAGGCUGUUCUGUAGAGGAGAUUCUGGUCAGAGCUCAGGAGACCAGAAAGCUGAUAGAAAGCCUGAUGGCAAAGACCAGGCUUGGGAGGUUUCUGCUGGGAAGGACUGCAUUGGUCGUUGGACUGCACAUGCUGUGUGUAAUGGCUUAGCAGAAAGUUUGUCUGCAUUUUGCUCCUGCCCAGAGACUUUGCCUGAGACUGAGACAAAGGGCAAUGGACUGAUUAAUCUUGAAAAAGAAAUUAAAAAGCAACCAAAUGUUGAGGCUGUGGCAUGGCUAUUGUUGGUGGCUUUCAGCCAGCUUUAUGUUUUGAAUCAGGAGCAAAGAGCCCAGCACGAUAAUGUACAAUGCUGUGAGUGUGGCCCGAAGGAAGAUUCCAGGAAGGGUGUGGAUUGUAAAGACAGAGUUGAGAUUUUGAUUCCUGAGGAGAAACAGAGAGAUAAGAAAUAUGGCCCCGGGUCAUCCCAGGAAGCAAGUCCCUACCCUGUGCAGCCUCACAGCAAAGAUGAAAAAUUUUGCUCAGAGGAAAAAUCUACAGAGUGCCAUGCUCCAGAAUGGCGACAGAGGCCAAGUGAGGUUCCAGAAUGGCGACAGAGGCCAAGUGAGGUUCCAGAAUGGCGACAAGAGGCCAUGUGAGGUUCCAGAAUGGCGACAGAGGCCACAUGAGUUUCCAGAAAAGCGGCAACAUAGAGAAGCUUUUCAUCACAAUCAGGUAAACAGAGCCCUGCGAUCCAGGCAACUGACCCCUACAGCCAAGAGAGAGAAAAGCCUGGCUACUGCUUCAGCUAGCAGCAAACCUUGGUGGCAUGCACAAGGUGCUGAUUUUAGGUGCAAGGAAAAUGCACAAAUUCUGAGGGUAAGAUGGCUUCCACCUCGAUUGCAAAGGGCCCGGGAGGCCAAGCAGUGUGUCCCCGAGAGGGCAAUUUGUGAAGAUGUAAGGGUGAAGCCAAAGGUGCAGUGGAGACCCCAGAAGUUUGGAAAAGCCAGGAACGUGGAUGAUCCAAGGAAAGCUGCAAAAAGUGAGCAGAGAGUAUUUAAGAGAAAAGCUGCGGGAGUUGAAAUCGCUGGAAAUGCCCUGGGGGUGGAAUCACCCAAGGCUUUUGGAAUUUGCAACCAGAUUGCUUCAGAUGCUGAGUGUAGAACUCUAGGACUUAAUGUUUGCCCUGCUGGAUGUUGGAAUUGCUUUGUUUCGAAUGCUUUCUAUUCUCCUGUUUCUAACUUUUGGAAUGGUAAUGUUUAUCUUGUGCCUUUGCAUUUCAGAAAUGUUUAACCUUGUUUCUUUUGUACAGGGGCUUACAGUUAAGAGUUUGCCAUAGACCUUGGAGGAGACUUGGGACUUGGACUUUUCAGCAAUGUUGAAGCUGUUAGGACUUUGGCAACUCUUGGAGGUAGACUAAAUGUCUUUUGUAUAAAGGAUGUACAUGAGUCCUGGGGGCCAGGGGUGGAAUGUCAUGGUUUAUGUUUGUGUCCCCCAGGCCUCAUGAGUUUGCAUUGUUCAUAUGUGAUGGUUCAUUGUAUAGUGUUUGGAUUGAUGGUGUCAGUGCUCCACCCACAUAGGGGUGGAGCCAGGAUGUGAUGUAAUGGCAGGAAGAAGGUGUGUUUUUCUCUUUGCUGGUUUGAGUUUGCUGCUGGCGGCCACCAUGAACUGCAGCCCAGCCAUGCCUGCCUGUCUUGGAGACAACUGAGUGUGGACCGAAACCUCCAAAAACUGUAAGAAAUAAACCUUUCCUUUCCCAA